UGUAAGCUCUUAGCUACUGUUCCAGCAUCAUGCCUGCCUGCUUGAUAUGUUGUUCCCCACCAUGGUGAUCUUGGACUAACCCUCUGAAACUAGAGACUCUCCAAGAUUGUUUUCUCCUGAUGUUCAUAUCUUGUACCAUGCUUCCAUGCAAUCAUGAACUGUGAUUUGAUGGGAACAACUUACUCAUGGACACCUUGCUGGAAUGUUAAAGAAGAGUGAGAUGAGAGUGCAUGGGAGCUUGGCAGACACAU
Molecule: small RNA, 251 nt
Filed under: Rattus norvegicus (Norway rat)
Lineage: Eukaryota; Metazoa; Chordata; Mammalia; Rodentia; Muridae
Description: uncharacterized LOC108351363
Source: RNAcentral